ACCAGACUCCUACGGGAGGCAGCAGUGGGGAAUAUUGGACAAUGGGGGGAACCCUGAUCCAGCGACGCCGCGUGAGUGAAGAAGUAUUUCGGUAUGUAAAGCUCUAUCAGCAGGGAAGAAAGAAAUGACGGUACCUGACUAAGAAGCCCCGGCUAACUACGUGCCAGCAGCCGCGGUAAUACGUAGGGGGCAAGCGUUAUCCGGAAUUACUGGGUGUAAAGGGAGCGCAGACGGCAGUGCAAGUCUGGAGUGAAAGCCCGUGGCUUAACCACGGGACUGCUCUGGAAACUGUGCAGCUAGAGUGCAGGAGAGGCAGGCGGAAUUCCUAGUGUAGCGGUGAAAUGCGUAGAUAUUAGGAGGAACACCAGUGGCGAAGGCGGUCUGCUGGACAGCAACUGACGGUGAGGCGCGAAAGCGUGGGGAGCAAACAGGAUUAGAUACCCCAGUAC
RNAcentral lists this ribosomal RNA (449 nucleotides) under uncultured bacterium. RNAcentral describes it as "partial 16S ribosomal RNA". It matches the Rfam family "Bacterial small subunit ribosomal RNA", at positions 330 to 793 of the family's 1533-position model. The record is from RNAcentral.